Molecule: ribosomal RNA, 416 nt
Filed under: uncultured bacterium
Lineage: Bacteria
Description: bacterial SSU rRNA
Rfam family: Bacterial small subunit ribosomal RNA
Source: RNAcentral
GGCCAGCAGCCGCGGUAAUACGUAGGGGGCAAGCGUUGUCCGGAUUCAUUGGGCGUAAAGAGCGUGUAGGCGGCCAGGUAGGUCGGUUGUGAAAACUGGAGGCUCAACCUUCAGACGUCGACCGAAACCAUCUGGCUAGAGUCCGGGAGAGGAGAGUGGAAUUCCUGGUGUAGCGGUGAAAUGCGCAGAUAUCAGGAAGAACACCCGUGGCGAAAGCGGCUCUCUGGAACGGUACUGACGCUGAGACGCGAAAGCGUGGGGAGCGAACAGGAUUAGAUACCCUGGUAGUCCACGCCGUAAACGAUGGGCGCUAGGUGUGGGAGGUGUCGACUCCUUCCGUGCCGCAGCUAACGCAUUAAGCGCCCCGCCUGGGGAGUACGGCCGCAAGGCUAAAACUUAAAGGAAUUGGCGGGGGA